This is a long non-coding RNA of Oncorhynchus kisutch (coho salmon), 1789 nucleotides long. RefSeq lists it as uncharacterized. The transcript has 6 exons. The record is from RefSeq and is a predicted model, not a curated record. NCBI's taxonomy places the organism in Eukaryota, Metazoa, Chordata, Actinopteri, Salmoniformes, Salmonidae.
UGUCUCUUGUCUAUUUGAACUACAAUUGUCCUAGAGUGACAACCAAACCAUCUAAUUGUAUGUGAUAAACAAUCCAUACCGGAAAAUAUAUUCGAUUUUGAACUCACUCAAGUGCUGGAAACAGUCCGAGGGCUGUUAUUGAAAGCGCAUUCUCUGCCGGGCUUAGGCGGUCACAAGACUUGGACAUCCAUGUACAAAAACAUCCGCACUGCAAUUAGCGGACACAGGUCAGUUUCUAGCCCAUAGGCCACUGAGAAACACCUCUGCCUUCAACAGGCCUCGCAACUUUGGCAACUUAGUUCACAUUCAGUUGCGCGCAUUGGAUAACCUACCUUUCCCCAAAUGGAAACCUCAGCAUUACUCUCGCUUAUCCAAAUUCGACAUUGGAACAUUGUUUUUCCUAAAGAGGUAUAAGGAGCAAAGUGGUAUUCUUAUCCCACAUUCAGUGAUGGUUUUAGACGUAACGGAUGGUUGAGGUUGCAAGGAGGGGCACAUGCCAAACGGAGCGAAUAGCAGUGGAAGAAAUUAAAACAAAGAUGUCAACAGUUGCCUACCACCCACUCGAAAUCGAUUGUAUUACCUUCAAGAAGCUCGCUGAACGUAUAAAACGGGACGCAUGAUUUCAAGACUCAGAAGACUUGUUGCAGACAACGGAAUCUUCUCCCAAAAAGCAAAACAAUCGACAACGUCUAUAGAGAUUUGACACAGACAACUCGCGUCCACUUUUUAGGACAUAAGCCUCCUUUAAUACAUUAAACUAGAAUAGCCAUGCAGGCAGUGAGGAAAUGCCACAUACUGUCCAGUUUAUUCCUUCUGCUGAUCAGCUCGGGCCAGUGCAUGGACAGCAAGGAGGUGAGGCAGAAAGAGAGAAGGAUCCUGCUGGACCAUGUCUUACAGGUUAACGGAGACAGCCAACAGGGGGACAAGCCUUCAGUUUCCAGUCGCUAUAACAGUGGCCUCUUCCCCGCAGCCCAAGACAUGAAGUUCUCCUCUGGAGAAAAGCCUUUAUAUGUUCCUAGGCUGGAUAACAGCAAACCCAUAGAUAAUGUCCCAAGAGAUAUAAACCUGAAAGACAAGUUCAUAAAGCAUUUCACAGGACCAGUCAAGUUCUCAUCAGAAUGUAGAACACAUUUUCAUAGACUCUAUCACAACACAAGGGAUUGUUCAAGACCAGCAUACUACAAAAGAUGUGCAAGAUUGCUAACACGGCUAGCGAUGAGUCCACUUUGCUCACAAUCGUAGACAUUGCAUGCUCAAAAUUUUGAAAGAGGGAUAUAUGUUUUGCCCAGGAAGUGCCUUCAAUUCACAGCAGUCACAUUAAGAACAUAUUAUUGUAAUUGUUUAUAGUAUUUUUAUUUGUGUUGUUGAUACUGUAUGUAUAUGAAAAUGCUGGCAGCCUUUAUUGGUUUUAUGAAAGAUUUUCUUUUUAUCUUCAUGUAACAUUUAUUUUUAAGAAAACCAUAAUUUAAUAUUGAAUACACCAAUUUAUUGAAAUGAUAUGUAUAUAAUUCAUCACAAUAAUUCAGAAAUAUACAAUUAUUUUCUUAAAGUUCUCACAUAAUGAAGAUAUUUUCUUCUCAUCAUGUCUGAAUUAAUCUCACUUAAUAUUAUUUGCUUUGUCAAUAUUACAUUCUGAGACGGUCCUACCAUGGUCGUUGAGAUAUUUAUUUCACUGUCCUUGUCUCCAUUGUAUUUAAUUUGGCACUUGAAUGAUUCCAGUCAAUGAAAACAUGUUGAAUGACGACGAAUGUAAUAAUGCACUGCAGUACUAAACAAUAAAAAAUAUUGA